Amphiprion ocellaris (clown anemonefish) is the source of this 2770-nucleotide long non-coding RNA. The record is from Ensembl. NCBI's taxonomy places the organism in Eukaryota, Metazoa, Chordata, Actinopteri, Pomacentridae.
CUUUUACGUGUGACACAUAUGAUUUGGUUUAUCCAUGUAUUAUAAAGUUGUUCAAGACGCACAUCCAGCCUUAAGAAAGGCAUAACGUCAUACAAGGACUGAAAAGUGACGUUUGCAACGGUAAACUCUUUUUGUUUGAAGGAACAUUUUUCUUUUUGACCAUUUUUGUGUUUGUGACGAAGCGGACUCAUUCCCUCUUUGCGUAAAUGCGGCCAGCGAGGUGGAAGCUGAAUUAGUGAGGAUGACUCCUGCUCCUGUCAUCUCUAAACUCCUCACACAUCUUUACCUGCACAUGAGGAAGAUCACUCCUGUAGAAUGCAGAUGUUCAGAGGGAGAUGAUACCACAUCUGGUCCAGCUGAUGGAAGGUCUUGAAGUUCUCUGACUGGCCUCGACUGAAGAUGGUCGUCUCACUGGAUUUAAGGUUCAGAUGCUCAGUAACAAACUCCACCAAUGUGCCAACAGGGAAGCUUUAGGUUUAUUAAAUGUUGCUAUGAAGGUUUUGCUGUUUUUCUUUGUGAAUGCAAUGUGCUCCAACUGAAACUUGAAUUAGAACUUAGAAGUAAAUCCUUCCAUCUGAAACGAUUUAGUUGCAUUAAUAACCUCAUAACAUUCUAAUUUUUAUUCCAGUCUUGGUUGGAAAUAGAAUCUCUGUAUUGAUUCAGGUAAAAACUGAACUUCACAGCAUGUUGGAGCAAAACAACCAGAUGAAAACUGUGAUGAUGUUGGAUUGUCAGACUGUAAUGUUGCAGCUCAAAGCAGCUUUUCUAUCUCAGUUCAUUCUGACAUUCAGCUAUGAAUCAACACAGCGGAUGGUGAUCCACGCUGUGGAAGUCUCACAUCUCCUGAUGUAAUGGAACUUCUGCAGAGUCCUGGUUCCAGAACAUGAUGAUAGAAUUAUAGACAAACUUUAACAAAAGCUGUCUGAGAGUUUACAGGUUUUUAUGUUAGAUUUCUUCAGUAUUUUAAUGAGAGUUAUCAGCAAAAAUCAAGGGUUAAUUUGAUGAACUUGAUUUCCUAAAACAUCCAGAAUUGGAGCUCAUAUCUUUGGCAGCUGUAAAGUUUCUGCUCCUUCAAAGUUCACAACACAAUGAAUUAAUUCCUAAAACACUCUCAAUGCUGGAGAGCGUUUGUGAUGCUGAAGCAGUGAUCAGUUUUUCUGUUUCUUCUCUGGAGAUGCACAAUGAGGGACGUCUGCAGAGACUGAGAAAGAGUCUCACCACAUCCUGACAUGAGGAAAAAGACUUUAUUGAAGACUACAAUGAGAAAAACUAUCAGAUAGCAGACGGCUGCAUUCAAGGCUACAGGAGGAGCCCUAUGAGGACGAGCCGGUCCACCUGAUGGUGGCCAGUCGCUGCGGUUCAAAGCCAACACCGACUACGUGGACUUGUACUGGACCACAUGGAGGCCUUCAAACCGGACCCAACAAGUUCACCGACUCCCCGACUCGUGGGUCUGAGGACGCCGCCGAGCCUCGGUCCAGCCGGCCUCCUGUCUGUGGGUGUUUGAGUGCUGAGAGGGAUUACCACAGACCUGACCGUGAACACCGUUGACACCCACCUGAGGGAGACGCUGCCUGAGAUCUCAAGGCUGCUUGGUCGUGGUCUUUCUGGUCCUGCUCCAGAACGCCUUCAUCAACUACGUCUUCUUCUGAAGAGGCCCUCAGAUGCUGCAAUCUCUAACCUUAAGGAAGAACUGCUAAUUUCACUCUGUAACGAGACGGCGGUUAUUUUAAAGACCCAGCUCCUGGCGGCUUUGAGUGAAAAUAACUGGAGCCUUCAAUUGGCUCCUGCUGGUCAUACUACAACUCUUGGUUUGGUACUAAAUUAAAAAUCUGAAUUUUAAGGAAUUUUUUAGUAAAUAAAAUUCAAUCACUUCACCCUUAAACACUGCAGAAAAAAUAAACUCCAUACCACCAGCAAAAGGGUCCUACUGAUCAUACCUUCAGGUUUUUUCUUCCAAGUAUUGCCCGUACAGUCCUUAACUUGGAAAAUAUUAUUAGCUGUUUAACAUUAUGGUUUAAAUGAAUCAAUUAAUGCUGCAGCCUUGUAAGAAGGCGUCUUAUUGUCUUUCUUCCCAAUGGUCAGUACUUGAGACAGUCUAGUGUAGUUUGGUAUACUGGUGUUAUCUGAUCCUCUCUUUGGUGAGGAUUCCAAGUUCCAUUACUAUUCAGUAUCAUGUAUUUGGACAAACAGUUGCACUGUGGAUCUAAAAAUAUAGUACCACAUACAUCAAAAGAAGAGCCAUCAAAGCUAAUUUACUCAUAAUCCUUAAACUUCACACACAUGCAUGCACACUAAAUAGUGUGCACAACUUCAUAUGGCAACAUACAACCCAAAUAAAAUAAAAUUCAGUUGCUUUCGGUUAUUAAUGUACCACAAUCUACCAAAAAAAUGGAUGAGCACUUUUAUCUGUUAGAACAAAAAAUAUUUGAGAUAUAUAACAACAAUUUCAAUACUAAUAAAAAAAAUCCUUAAAAUCAUAAAAAGAUAAAUAUCAAAUCAAGAGUUGUAGUAUGAUUUUGGUGGCACUACAGUGUAUAAGAGUGAAGUUAUUGAAUUUUAUUACUAAUAAAAUAAUAAAUGAAAAUUUCUGAAAAUUCAGAUUUUGUGUUUAAUGUCAAACUAAGAGUUGUAGUAUGAUCAACAGGAGCCAAUUGAUGGCUCCAGUGAUUUUGGUGACACUACAGUACAUAAGAGUGAAGUGAAGUUAUUGAAUUUUCUUACUAAUAAAAUAAUAAGAAAAUAUUUUUUAAAAAUUGCUUAAAAUUAU